This 620-nucleotide long non-coding RNA is filed under the name Hordeum vulgare. RNAcentral's name for it is "long non-coding RNA (HVUL_LNC018746)". Lineage: Eukaryota; Viridiplantae; Streptophyta; Magnoliopsida; Poales; Poaceae. The record is from RNAcentral.
UUGUGUGCAUUUGUUUGCGUGUCGACGUGUCAGAAAUGGUUCAGUUCAUAGUUAUUUAUUCGUAGCUUCGUUGGAGUUGAGCCAUAUAUGAAAAUGGAGUAUAACGAUGAGUAGAAUCACAUGAACCACUUUGUUUUUCUGUUUAACAAACAUAAAAUGUAAUUAGGACAAAUCUGGAAAGAUUACAAAGUUAACGUGUGGGGUCAGUUAAGAGACGCUAUAUGUCGUUUUCGGCCUCAUUUAAAAUGCCUAGAUAGGUAGAUUAUUUGUGCUUCAUCCCUUUCCAUGUUAACAACAUUUUAAUAUUGUUGGCUUAAUAAACAUGAGUGAACUAAAUAAUUAAAUGUGGAGUUUUGUCAAUAUGCAACUCGUUGCAUAUUAAGCUUCACUUAAUGUGUAGUGUUGCGAGAUGUGAAUUGCCAAGCCGUGCCUUGCAUAAUUAAUUUGUAAAUGCAUCAUCUUAGGGUGUUCAUCAUGUCGUGCAUGUGCCGUGGUGAAUAUCGGUUUGCUUCGUCCCGAUAGAGUUCCCCAAGCGUGUCGGAAUGUGAGGAUCCAUUCGACUACGUCGGUUCAUGUGCUUCAUGGGUUCGUCUUCUUCCAAGCGGGAUCUCAGGCAAGAU